RNAcentral lists this ribosomal RNA (496 nucleotides) under uncultured bacterium. Its description in RNAcentral is "partial 16S ribosomal RNA". It matches the Rfam family "Bacterial small subunit ribosomal RNA", at positions 29 to 507 of the family's 1533-position model. The record is from RNAcentral.
AUGAACGCUGGCGGCGUGCCUAAUACAUGCAAGUCGAGCGAACGGACGAGAAGCUUGCUUCUCUGAUGUUAGCGGCGGACGGGUGAGUAACACGUGGAUAACCUACCUAUAAGACUGGGAUAACUUCGGGAAACCGGAGCUAAUACCGGAUAAUAUUUUGAACCGCAUGGUUCAAAAGUGAAAGACGGUCUUGCUGUCACUUAUAGAUGGAUCCGCGCUGCAUUAGCUAGUUGGUAAGGUAACGGCUUACCAAGGCAACGACGCAUAGCCGACCUGAGAGGGUGAUCGGCCACACUGGAACUGAGACACGGUCCAGACUCCUACGGGAGGCAGCAGUAGGGAAUCUUCCGCAAUGGGCGAAAGCCUGACGGAGCAACGCCGCGUGAGUGAUGAAGGUCUUCGGAUCGUAAAACUCUGUUAUUAUGGAAGAACAUAUGUGUAAGUAACUGUGCACAUCUUGACGGUACCUAAUCAGAAAGCCACGGCUAACUACGUG